This 807-nucleotide long non-coding RNA is filed under the name Homo sapiens (human). RNAcentral describes it as "non-protein coding LINC00898:4". The record is from RNAcentral. Lineage: Eukaryota; Metazoa; Chordata; Mammalia; Primates; Hominidae.
CCUCAGCAUGGACGCUGCAGUGCACACUGUUCCGUGCCAGGUGCUGGCUGACCCUGCCCUGUGGGAGGUGAUGGACAGGCACACAGGGGGAGCCCCGCAAACAAGGGGCCCUGUUACAGCAGAGUGGGAGAGCGCCUGGUAGGACGCCAAGCACCGUGGCCGGGCUGCAGAGAGGCCUGCGGGACUUGUAGACAAGACGUCAUGGAGAAGGCGGAGCUCCCAUGGGCCUUGCAGGUUUCACCAAGCAAGAGCGGAGAAGACACAGGCUGGACAAAGGAAGGUGGACGGGACAGCCAGCCGUGCAGCAGCCUCACAGGACACAGCUACCAGACAGAGAGCACCAGCUGACACUCAUUCCUCCAGCACCAGGAAAUGCCACAGCAGAAGAGAGUCUUCAAGAUGGGCCAGACCCACUUCUGCAGCAUGGUUGCUGGGAGCCUGCACAGGCCAGGCAUUUCUCUACAGGUCAGCAGAGCUGCAGCAAGAUCCCAGGUCCUGACCCAAGGCAGUCCUGACCCAUGGUCUAUCCCCACCGGCCCUUCCCUGGAGCUGUGCCUCAGCUGGGGAGGUACUUCUGGAAGGCAGGUGGAGGAGGUAAGCCUCCUUCCCAGCCUGCAAGUCUGUGGUUUAGGUGGCCUAUACUAACUGAUACUCGUACAGGUGCAAUUGAGAACUCACUGAGGCAAAAGGGCCUUUGUCAACCCACAGAAGUGACAAGUCCAAGUGCAGACCAGGCUUCAGGUAUGGCUUGAUGGAGGCACACACGCUGUCUUUCCAGCUUCCAGUGUAGGGUGUCUGGGUGCCCUC